AUUAAGGUGUCCGAUUUAGGUAGUAGACUGUAAAUUUACUUAAGAAUAUUAUUUUCUCUUAAUA
This 64-nucleotide transfer RNA is filed under the name Stictocephala bisonia. RNAcentral's name for it is "tRNA-Tyr". The record is from RNAcentral. Lineage: Eukaryota; Metazoa; Arthropoda; Insecta; Hemiptera; Membracidae.